RNAcentral lists this ribosomal RNA (591 nucleotides) under uncultured bacterium. RNAcentral's name for it is "partial 16S ribosomal RNA". It matches the Rfam family "Bacterial small subunit ribosomal RNA", at positions 355 to 1375 of the family's 1533-position model. The record is from RNAcentral.
UGGGGAAUAUUGCACAAUGGGCGCAAGCCUGAUGCAGCCAUGCCGCGUGUGUGAAGAAGGCCUUCGGGUUGUAAAGCACUUUCAGCGAGGAGGAAGGUGGUGAGCUUAAUACGCUCAUCAAUUGACGUUACUCGCAGAAGAAGCACCGGCUAACUCCGUGCCAGCAGCCGCGGUAAUACGGAGGGUGCAAGCGUUAAUCGGAAUUACUGGGCGUAAAGCGCACGCAGGCGGUUUGUUAAGUCGGAUGUGAAAUCCCCGGGCUCAACCUGGGAACUGCAUUUGAAACUGGCAAGCUAGAGUCUCGUAGAGGGGGGUAGAAUUCCAGGUGUAGCGGUGAAAUGCGUAGAGAUCUGGAGGAAUACCGGUGGCGAAGGCGGCCCCCUGGACGAAGACUGACGCUCAGGUGCGAAAGCGUGGGGCAGCAAACAGGAUUAGAUACCCUGGUAGUCCAGCGCUGUAAAACGGAUGUCGAUUUUGGAGGUUGUGCCCUUGAGGCGUGGCUUCCGGAGCUAACGCGUUAAAUCGACCGCCUGGGGAGUACGGCCGCAAGGUUAAAACUCAAAGGAAUUGACGGGGUCAUAGCUGUUUCCU